GAAAACUUACCAGGUCAAGACAUGGGCGUGAUUGACAGGCUAAUGACUUUUCUCGAUUCCAUGGAUGGUGGUGCAUGGUCGCACUUAGUUGGUGCAGUGAUUUGUCAGGUUUAUUCCGGUAACGAACGAGACCUCGGCCUUGUAAAUAGCUAUGCUGCUUACAGGGACAUUGGCGGCUACGCCAAGGAAGCUCGAGGCAAUUGCAGAUCUGGAAUGCCCUUAGAUGUCCUGGGUCGCACGCGUGCUACAAUGACGCCACGAACGAGCUUGCGUGAUGAAAGUUACGCAUAAUCAGCAGUCGGCGUCUUAAGGGAUAGUCUCUUGUAACUGUGGGACUCCAACUAGGAAUGUCUCGUAAGCACAAGUCAACAUCUUGUGUUGAUUACGUCCCUGCUCUUUGUACACACCGCCCGUCGCUCCUACCGAUCGAGUGUUUAGGUGAAUUUGAUGGACGUAAGGAAGUCAAAUAAACCUGAGCACUAGAGAAGAGAGUCGAUAUC
This 500-nucleotide ribosomal RNA is filed under the name uncultured Myrionecta. RNAcentral's name for it is "bacterial SSU rRNA". It matches the Rfam family "Eukaryotic small subunit ribosomal RNA", at positions 1209 to 1795 of the family's 1831-position model. The record is from RNAcentral. Lineage: Eukaryota; Ciliophora; Litostomatea; Cyclotrichida; Mesodiniidae.